Molecule: ribosomal RNA, 465 nt
Filed under: Vreelandella stevensii
Lineage: Bacteria; Pseudomonadati; Pseudomonadota; Gammaproteobacteria; Oceanospirillales; Halomonadaceae
Description: partial 16S ribosomal RNA
Rfam family: Bacterial small subunit ribosomal RNA
Source: RNAcentral
CCUACGGGAGGCUGCAGUGGGGAAUAUUGGACAAUGGGGGGAACCCUGAUCCAGCCAUGCCGCGUGUGUGAAGAAGGCCCUCGGGUUGUAAAGCACUUUCAGUGAGGAAGAACGCCUGGUGGUUAAUACCCAUCAGGAAAGACAUCACUCACAGAAGAAGCACCGGCUAACUCCGUGCCAGCAGCCGCGGUAAUACGGAGGGGGCGAGCGUUAAUCGGAAUUACUGGGCGUAAAGCGCGCGUAGGUGGCUUGAUAAGCCGGUUGUGAAAGCCCCGGGCUCAACCUGGGAACGGCAUCCGGAACUGUCAAGCUAGAGUGCAGGAGAGGAAGGUAGAAUUCCCGGUGUAGCGGUGAAAUGCGUAGAGAUCGGGAGGAAUACCAGUGGCGAAGGCGGCCUUCUGGACUGACACUGACACUGAGGUGCGAAAGCGUGGGUAGCAAACAGGAUUAGAUACCCGGGUAGUC